This is a long non-coding RNA of Pantherophis guttatus, 455 nucleotides long. RefSeq lists it as uncharacterized. The record is from RefSeq and is a predicted model, not a curated record. Lineage: Eukaryota; Metazoa; Chordata; Lepidosauria; Squamata; Colubridae.
UCUCUGCCCAGUCAACAACAUUUAGAAACAGUUACUCUGCAAAGAUCAGCUAUCAUAUUGAAAAUCUUCAUUCCAAGUGAGACUUUUAACAUAGCAACUAGAAGAAAAAUUACAGGGCUGGAAUGGAAUCAGUUGCCUUGGCAGCAAGGUCAUUCUCAGUGGCCACUUUGUGGCUACUAUAACAUCUCUCCAGACUCCUCAUGAAAAAGUGGGACCCGCCCUCGAGUCUCAUUUCUCAGAGAGACUUGACAUAACUGCACAGAAUAAGCAGUGUUAUACAGAGCCCUGCAAAGGAACAAGUCUUCAGAUGAAUCUUUUUCUUCAGAUGAAUCUUUCAAAACAAAAUACAGUAAUUGAGUGUAGAUUUUCAAUCAAGAUGGGAAACUAACAAAUUUCCUUCGUCAUGUUGCUUGAACUAUAAUUUUUUUGCUAAAUCUUUCAAAUAUGCUUCCCCA